Molecule: ribosomal RNA, 377 nt
Filed under: uncultured eukaryote
Lineage: Eukaryota
Description: partial 18S ribosomal RNA
Rfam family: Eukaryotic small subunit ribosomal RNA
Source: RNAcentral
CAAUAGCGUAUAUUAAAGUUGUUGCAGUUAAAAAGCUCGUAGUUGGAUUUCGGGGCAGCCUGGCUGGUCCGCCGCAAGGCGAGUACUGGUCAGCCGCCCUUCCUCUCGAAAGCCCCGACUGCUCUUUAUUGCAGUGGUCGGGUAGUUCGGGACGUUUACUUUGAAAAAAUUAGAGUGUUCAAGGCAGGCCUACGCCUGAAUACAUUAGCAUGGAAUAAUGGAAGAGGACCUCGGUCCUAUUUUGUUGGUUUCCAGGACCGAAGUAAUGAUUAAGAGGGACAGUUGGGGGCAUUCGUAUUUAAUUGUCAGAGGGGAAAUUCUCGGAUUUAUGAAAGACGAACAACUGCGAAAGCAUUUGCCAAGGAUGUUUUCAUUAA